UCCAGGUACGACCCCAGCAGUCGCACGU
RNAcentral lists this small RNA (28 nucleotides) under Bombyx mori (domestic silkworm). RNAcentral describes it as "ovarian small RNA-26844". The record is from RNAcentral. Lineage: Eukaryota; Metazoa; Arthropoda; Insecta; Lepidoptera; Bombycidae.